GAUGAACGCUGGCGGCGUGCCUAAUACAUGCAAGUCGAGCGAACAGACGAGGAGCUUGCUCCUCUGACGUUAGCGGCGGACGGGUGAGUAACACGUGGAUAACCUACCUAUAAGACUGGGAUAACUUCGGGAAACCGGAGCUAAUGCCGGAUAAUAUAUUGAACCGCAUGGUUCAAUAGUGAAAGACGGUUUUGCUGUCACUUAUAGAUGGAACCGCGCCGCAUUAGCUAGUUGGUAAGGUAACGGCUUACCAAGGCAACGAUGCGUAGCCGACCUGAGAGGGUGACCGGCCACACUGGAACUGAGACACGGUCCAGACUCCUACGGGAGGCAGCAGUAGGGAAUCUUCCGCAAUGGGCGAAAGCUUGACGGAGCAACGCCGCGUGAGUGAUGAAGGUCUUCGGAUCGUAAAACUCUGUUAUUAGGGAAGAACAAAUGUGUAAGUAACUAUGCACGUCUUGACGGUACCUAAUCAGAAAGCCACGGCUAACUACGUG
RNAcentral lists this ribosomal RNA (497 nucleotides) under uncultured bacterium. RNAcentral describes it as "partial 16S ribosomal RNA". It matches the Rfam family "Bacterial small subunit ribosomal RNA", at positions 28 to 507 of the family's 1533-position model. The record is from RNAcentral.